UAGUCCACGCCGUAAACGAUGUCAAUUAGCCGUUGGGAGACUUGUUUUCUUAGUGGCGCAGCUAACGCGAUAAAUUGACCGCCUGGGGAGUACGGCCGCAAGGUUAAAACUCAAAUGAAUUGACGGGGGCCCGCACAAGCGGUGGAGCAUGUGGUUUAAUUCGAUGCAACGCGAAGAACCUUACCAGGUCUUGACAUCCUGCGAAUUUUCUAGAGAUAGAUUAGUGCCUUCGGGAACGCAGUGACAGGUGCUGCAUGGCUGUCGUCAGCUCGUGUCGUGAGAUGUUGGGUUAAGUCCCGCAACGAGCGCAACCCUCAUCCUAUUUUGCCAGCACGUUAUGGUGGGAACUAUUAGGAAACUGCCCGUGACAAGCGGGAGGAAGGCGGGGAUGACGUCAAAUCAGCACGGCCCUUACGGACUGGGCUACACACGUGCUACAAUGGUGACUACAACGAGUCGCAAACCUGCGAAGGUGAGCUAAUCUUUAAAAGUCAUCUCAGUUCGGAUUGG
This 510-nucleotide ribosomal RNA is filed under the name uncultured bacterium. Its description in RNAcentral is "bacterial SSU rRNA". It matches the Rfam family "Bacterial small subunit ribosomal RNA", at positions 791 to 1301 of the family's 1533-position model. The record is from RNAcentral.